Molecule: ribosomal RNA, 2898 nt
Filed under: Salmonella enterica subsp. enterica serovar Typhimurium str. 108402
Lineage: Bacteria; Pseudomonadati; Pseudomonadota; Gammaproteobacteria; Enterobacterales; Enterobacteriaceae
Description: bacterial LSU rRNA
Rfam family: Bacterial large subunit ribosomal RNA
Source: RNAcentral
GGGUUGUGAGGUUAAGCGACUAAGCGUACACGGUGGAUGCCCUGGCAGUCAGAGGCGAUGAAGGGCGUGCUAAUCUGCGAUAAGCGCCGGUAAGGUGAUAUGAACCGUUAUAACCGGCGAUACCCGAAUGGGGAAACCCAGUGUGAUUCGUCACACUAUCAUUAACUGAAUCCAUAGGUUAAUGAGGCGAACCGGGGGAACUGAAACAUCUAAGUACCCCGAGGAAAAGAAAUCAACCGAGAUUCCCCCAGUAGCGGCGAGCGAACGGGGAGGAGCCCAGAGCCUGAAUCAGCAUGUGUGUUAGUGGAAGCGUCUGGAAAGGCGCGCGAUACAGGGUGACAGCCCCGUACACAAAAGCGCAUGUGCUGUGAGCUCGAUGAGUAGGGCGGGACACGUGGUAUCCUGUCUGAAUAUGGGGGGACCAUCCUCCAAGGCUAAAUACUCCUGACUGACCGAUAGUGAACCAGUACCGUGAGGGAAAGGCGAAAAGAACCCCGGCGAGGGGAGUGAAAAAGAACCUGAAACCGUGUACGUACAAGCAGUGGGAGCNNGUGACUGCGUACCUUUUGUAUAAUGGGUCAGCGACUUAUAUUCUGUAGCAAGGUUAACCGUAUAGGGGAGCCGGAGGGAAACCGAGUCUUAACCGGGCGUUAAGUUGCAGGGUAUAGACCCGAAACCCGGUGAUCUAGCCAUGGGCAGGUUGAAGGUUGGGUAACACUAACUGGAGGACCGAACCGACUAAUGUUGAAAAAUUAGCGGAUGACCUGUGGCUGGGGGUGAAAGGCCAAUCAAACCGGGAGAUAGCUGGUUCUCCCCGAAAGCUAUUUAGGUAGCGCCUCGUGAAUUCAUCUCCGGGGGUAGAGCACUGUUUCGGCUAGGGGGCCAUCCCGGCUUACCAACCCGAUGCAAACUGCGAAUACCGGAGAAUGUUAUCACGGGAGACACACGGCGGGUGCUAACGUCCGUCGUGAAGAGGGAAACAACCCAGACCGCCAGCUAAGGUCCCAAAGUCAUGGUUAAGUGGGAAACGAUGUGGGAAGGCCCAGACAGCCAGGAUGUUGGCUUAGAAGCAGCCAUCAUUUAAAGAAAGCGUAAUAGCUCACUGGUCGAGUCGGCCUGCGCGGAAGAUGUAACGGGGCUAAACCAUGCACCGAAGCUGCGGCAGCGANNNNNNNNNNNNNNNNNNNNNNNNNNNNNNNNNNNNNNNNNNUGCUGGAGGUAUCAGAAGUGCGAAUGCUGACAUAAGUAACGAUAAAGCGGGUGAAAAGCCCGCUCGCCGGAAGACCAAGGGUUCCUGUCCAACGUUAAUCGGGGCAGGGUGAGUCGACCCCUAAGGCGAGGCCGAAAGGCGUAGUCGAUGGGAAACGGGUUAAUAUUCCCGUACUUGGUGUUACUGCGAAGGGGGGACGGAGAAGGCUAUGUUGGCCGGGCGACGGUUGUCCCGGUUUAAGCGUGUAGGUGUGUGUUCCAGGUAAAUCCGGUUCACUUUAACACUGAGGCGUGACGACGAGGCACUACGGUGCUGAAGCAACAAAUGCCCUGCUUCCAGGAAAAGCCUCUAAGCAUCAGGUAACACGAAAUCGUACCCCAAACCGACACAGGUGGUCAGGUAGAGAAUACCAAGGCGCUUGAGAGAACUCGGGUGAAGGAACUAGGCAAAAUGGUGCCGUAACUUCGGGAGAAGGCACGCUGACACGUAGGUGAAGUGAUUUACUCAUGGAGCUGAAGUCAGUCGAAGAUACCAGCUGGCUGCAACUGUUUAUUAAAAACACAGCACUGUGCAAACACGAAAGUGGACGUAUACGGUGUGACGCCUGCCCGGUGCCGGAAGGUUAAUUGAUGGGGUCAGCGCAAGCGAAGCUCCUGAUCGAAGCCCCGGUAAACGGCGGCCGUAACUAUAACGGUCCUAAGGUAGCGAAAUUCCUUGUCGGGUAAGUUCCGACCUGCACGAAUGGCGUAAUGAUGGCCAGGCUGUCUCCACCCGAGACUCAGUGAAAUUGAACUCGCUGUGAAGAUGCAGUGUACCCGCGGCAAGACGGAAAGACCCCGUGAACCUUUACUAUAGCUUGACACUGAACAUUGAGCCUUGAUGUGUAGGAUAGGUGGGAGGCUUUGAAGUGUGGACGCCAGUCUGCAUGGAGCCGACCUUGAAAUACCACCCUUUAAUGUUUGAUGUUCUAACGUGGACCCGUAAUCCGGGUUGCGGACAGUGUCUGGUGGGUAGUUUGACUGGGGCGGUCUCCUCCUAAAGAGUAACGGAGGAGCACGAAGGUUGGCUAAUCCUGGUCGGACAUCAGGAGGUUAGUGCAAUGGCAUAAGCCAGCUUGACUGCGAGCGUGACGGCGCGAGCAGGUGCGAAAGCAGGUCAUAGUGAUCCGGUGGUUCUGAAUGGAAGGGCCAUCGCUCAACGGAUAAAAGGUACUCCGGGGAUAACAGGCUGAUACCGCCCAAGAGUUCAUAUCGACGGCGGUGUUUGGCACCUCGAUGUCGGCUCAUCACAUCCUGGGGCUGAAGUAGGUCCCAAGGGUAUGGCUGUUCGCCAUUUAAAGUGGUACGCGAGCUGGGUUUAGAACGUCGUGAGACAGUUCGGUCCCUAUCUGCCGUGGGCGCUGGAGAACUGAGGGGGGCUGCUCCUAGUACGAGAGGACCGGAGUGGACGCAUCACUGGUGUUCGGGUUGUCAUGCCAAUGGCACUGCCCGGUAGCUAAAUGCGGAAGAGAUAAGUGCUGAAAGCAUCUAAGCACGAAACUUGCCCCGAGAUGAGUUCUCCCUGAGACUUAGAGUCUCCUGAAGGAACGUUGAAGACGACGACGUUGAUAGGCCGGGUGUGUAAGCGCAGCGAUGCGUUGAGCUAACCGGUACUAAUGAACCGUGAGGCUUAACCUUACAACGCCGAAG